This 594-nucleotide long non-coding RNA is filed under the name Triticum aestivum (bread wheat). RNAcentral's name for it is "long non-coding RNA (TAES_LNC026543)". Lineage: Eukaryota; Viridiplantae; Streptophyta; Magnoliopsida; Poales; Poaceae. The record is from RNAcentral.
UAAUCUUCGUGUUUGGGCUUAUCGUGCUAAGGAUGUCCAAAAGCCGCACUGCAACAACGAGCGUAAAUUCUACUCUGCCACCUAAUUUAGGCGUUUCUCCAUUCGCACAAAUAUAAAAUUUGAAUAAUUCGCACAGGCCCCGAACCUUCUGCAUUCCUUAAUUUAAUGUUCAGGUGAGCAAAAUGCAUGUUGUAGUUCCCCUAAAAAAAGUUUGAAUGGGAGCGACUGUUGCUACAGUCACAUUAGCAGAAGGAAUAGAGGAAUCUACAGUGUUUUCCUUGAGAUCAAUAUUGUUCAUAUAAAUAAAUCUAUAGACUGUAAAAAAACUAAAUGGUGAUACUUAUCGACAGUACCUCUUUAGUAUAUGCGAGAGCCUGAGUGCAACUUCACGUUAGUAGUCGCUGAGAGUAGCAUGUACUAUUGCAGUGCUCGUCUGCUCGAGAUGAAACUGCACCUAUUAGCAUGUAUUAUUGCAGUGCCCACUCUAUGUCAUUUGCAUACUCAGAGGACCACCACCAGUGUUGCCUUUGAACUGGCUAGGGUUGAGCAUAACACCUCACAUGAUGUCCAAUUUUGUACCUAAAAGUAGAGCAG